RNAcentral lists this ribosomal RNA (577 nucleotides) under uncultured Staphylococcus sp. RNAcentral describes it as "bacterial SSU rRNA". It matches the Rfam family "Bacterial small subunit ribosomal RNA", at positions 74 to 636 of the family's 1533-position model. Lineage: Bacteria; Bacillati; Bacillota; Bacilli; Caryophanales; Staphylococcaceae. The record is from RNAcentral.
AGGAGCUUGCUCCUCUGACGUUAGCGGCGGACGGGUGAGUAACACGUGGAUAACCUACCUAUAAGACUGGGAUAACUUCGGGAAACCGGAGCUAAUACCGGAUAAUAUAUUGAACCGCAUGGUUCAAUAGUGAAAGACGGUUUUGCUGUCACUUAUAGAUGGAUCCGCGCCGCAUUAGCUAGUUGGUAAGGUAACAGCUUACCAAGGCAACGAUGCGUAGCCGACCUGAGAGGGUGAUCGGCCACACUGGAACUGAGACACGGUCCAGACUCCUACGGGAGGCAACAGUAGGGAAUCUUCCGCAAUGGGCGAAAGCCUGACGGAGCAACGCCGCGUGAGUGAUGAAGGUCUUCGGAUCGUAAAACUCUGUUAUUAGGGAAGAACAAAUGUGUAAGUAACUAUGCACGUCUUGACGGUACCUAAUCAGAAAGCCACGGCUAACGACGUGCCAGCAGCCGCGGUAAUACGUAGGUGGCAAGCGUUAUCCGGAAUUAUUGGGCGUAAAGCGCGCGUAGGCGGUUUUUUAAGUCUGAUGUGAAAGCCCACGGCUCAACCGUGGAGGGUCAUUGGAAACUGG